This 65-nucleotide transfer RNA is filed under the name Mecopoda niponensis. RNAcentral's name for it is "tRNA-Leu". The record is from RNAcentral. Lineage: Eukaryota; Metazoa; Arthropoda; Insecta; Orthoptera; Tettigoniidae.
UCUAAUAUGGCAGAUAAGUGCAAUAGAUUUAAGCUCUAUAUAUAAGGGUAUUCCUUUUAUUAGUA